RNAcentral lists this ribosomal RNA (228 nucleotides) under uncultured bacterium. RNAcentral's name for it is "partial 16S ribosomal RNA". It matches the Rfam family "Bacterial small subunit ribosomal RNA", at positions 568 to 796 of the family's 1533-position model. The record is from RNAcentral.
CGUGUAGGCGGUCUAUCGAGUCAGGCGUGAAAGCCCCGGGCUUAACCUGGGAACUGCGUUUGAUACUGAUAGACUAGAGGUUGGAAGAGGAGAGUGGAAUUCCCAGUGUAGAGGUGAAAUUCGUAGAUAUUGGGAAGAACACCAGUGGCGAAGGCGACUCUCUGGUCCAUACCUGACGCUGAGGCGCGAAAGCGUGGGAGCAAACAGGAUUAGAUACCCUGGUAGUCC